GGGCGUUUGGUCUAGUGGCAUGAUUCUUCUUUAGGUAGAACAGGUCGCCGGUUCAAUUCCGGCAACGAUGU
Non-coding RNA from Tribonema minus, 71 nucleotides. The record is from the annotation of a GenBank genome assembly. Lineage: Eukaryota; Xanthophyceae; Tribonematales; Tribonemataceae.